This 253-nucleotide ribosomal RNA is filed under the name uncultured bacterium. RNAcentral's name for it is "partial 16S ribosomal RNA". It matches the Rfam family "Bacterial small subunit ribosomal RNA", at positions 524 to 776 of the family's 1533-position model. The record is from RNAcentral.
UACAGAGGUCUCGAGCGUUAGGCGGAAUCACUGGGCUUAAAGCGUGUGUAGGCGGACUUCUAAGUACCUUGUGAAAUCCCACGGCUUAACCGUGGAACUGCUUGGUAUACUGGUUGUCUUGAGCCACUUAGGGGCGAGCGGAACAAAUGGUGGAGCGGUGAAAUGCGUAGAUAUCAUUUGGAACGCCAACGGUGAAAACAGCUCGCUGGGAGUGUGCUGACGCUGAGACACGAAAGCCAGGGGAGCAAACGGG